This 1837-nucleotide long non-coding RNA is filed under the name Nicotiana benthamiana. Its description in RNAcentral is "long non-coding RNA (NBEN_LNC023096)". Lineage: Eukaryota; Viridiplantae; Streptophyta; Magnoliopsida; Solanales; Solanaceae. The record is from RNAcentral.
UCUUACAACAAAUCUAUAUGAAACCCUAGUGAUAGCCGCCCCUAAUUCCACCACCUUGGGGUGGCAGCGCCUAUGUCAAUACCUACCAAAUUAACACCCCUAAACCUCAUUCUCCCCCUCAUUCCAAAAAUCCAUUCCAUUUCCUUUGAAUCCCAAUAAAUCCUCUCAAAUUUGGUUUCGAAGGUAAGCCCUAAAAUCCCAAUUUCAAAACAAUAGGUCUAUUUGAAGAUUUAGAGUUGUAUUAGACAAUAAUCGUGUGUUUUUGCAUGACAACACACGGUUAGGGUCUAUUCCGGUAAGGAUAUCAAAAGGUUCUUCGAAGUUUUCUUCAAAUGUACUCUGUCCAGUUUAGGUAUAUGUUCCGGCUUCUUUUUAUCACAUUAAUGUUGUUUACCCUCGAUUUUGUUUAGUGCAUGUGACGUUCCGUUCCUCCUGUCUCUUUAUUUUUCCUUUCUUGACUAUGUUGGUUAGUAAUUAUCCAUUUUAGUUGCAAGCUUUCUGAUUAUAUCUUUGUUCGUUUCAGUCUUGUUAAAUGUUCAUAUGUUCUUUUUUGUUGCAAAGUUUUCUUUUGUUAUCUUGAUUUCCUUUAGUCGAUCGGGAACUUUUUUUGGUAACAAGGCUAAGUUGGAUUGUUGUUAAAUUGGAAUUUAGCAUAUUAGGGCUUAAUCUAAAAUUCAUCACUCGAUUGGCCCAGUUCUGAGUCUUAAAAUCAGUCAAUUUUGUUUCUUUUUUCUAUUUGUCACUGACUUGGUUUGGUGUUUGGCCCAUUUGGCUUGGGCUUUAAGUCCAUAUUUUGGACUUGAACCUUUGGGUCAUUGAUCCAUGACCCCAUUUGGUCCAGGGGUGGUAAAAUUAUGACGUUUAAGGGGUAGUUUCGGGUCUUUGGGUAGAGAAUCUUGCUGUAACAACCUAAGAAACUCCUAGAAGCUUCUAGUAGAGGGAUUGUCAUUAAAUUUCGGACCAUAACUUGACCAACAAGUCAUAAAAUAAAGGAUCAAAUAGGCAAAAAUAGGAAAUUAAGCAGGGACUAAAAGGCUAAGUAAAAUCUGAAGGUUGUCCUAAUUGCUUGCCUAUAAAGGCACUCCAAAACUUGCGUUGUGAGGGAGGAGAGAUCGGUUUUUCAAAAAAAAAAACAAUAAAAAACAAAAAAAUAACUCAAAAAAAAGGACGGCUAAAAUUGAAAAAAUCACUGUUCCAUUGAGCUCCAUUUCUGAUUUUAGAAUUCCAAUUUGUUAAGGAAAUCUUUAGUUCAGUGGGUCUGUGAAAUGGCUUAAACUUGUCUUUAUUUUAAAGUCUGGCAUUGAUUUCUGAGGCAAGGUCACUACUUCAUUGGUGUUUGAGUUGAUUUCACUAGGUAGUUGAUCGAUUAUAGGAGUAUUCUUGCUGCUGUUGAUCAUUGCUCUUGUAACUGCUCUGCUAUUAACUCCUCACUCUUUUUGUUAUUUCAAAAUUCCAGGUACUUCUUGUCAAAUUUUACAGAUGUAACUCUCAAUUUGAAGACGAAAUAAAAGCUAAAGCAUGAACAUCGACUCCUUGUACUAAUUUUUAGUUAUUCAUGAUAUUUAUGCCUUCAAUCACAUGAGCUAUUUUAUAAUUAAUUGGAUUCUUACAUUUGUACUUGUUAAAACAGUACUGUAACAGAUGUCUAAACAUGCCUGUUAUUUUCAUACUCUUAAUAUGGAUUAAUGUCAUUAUAGUUAAAUCUAAUGUAAGUAGUUGUAUGACUGCAUGGUUUGGGUGCCAUGUCAGCCUUUUGUAUUCAUGUUUGCAUUUGAAUAAGUAUAGAAACAUAUCAAUGGUUGUGGCUUCUACUGGGUUUUUUUUAACAAUAUCAGCA